UGCUGGAUGAGAAUCCGUGGGGGCGCC
This 27-nucleotide small RNA is filed under the name Bombyx mori (domestic silkworm). RNAcentral's name for it is "ovarian small RNA-34225". The record is from RNAcentral. Lineage: Eukaryota; Metazoa; Arthropoda; Insecta; Lepidoptera; Bombycidae.